RNAcentral lists this small RNA (117 nucleotides) under Pongo abelii (Sumatran orangutan). Its description in RNAcentral is "Metazoan signal recognition particle RNA (ENSPPYG00000035676.1)". Lineage: Eukaryota; Metazoa; Chordata; Mammalia; Primates; Hominidae. The record is from Rfam by way of RNAcentral.
GCUGGGUGUAGUGGCGCAUACCUGUAAUCCCAUCACUUUGGGAGGCUGAGGUGGGUGGAUCACUUGAGGCCAGGAGUUCGAGACCAGCCUGGCCAACAUGGAGAAACCCCAUCUCUA